GACGAAGGGGGCUAGCGUUGUUCGGAAUUACUGGGCGUAAAGCGCGUGUAGGCGGUUGUUCAAGUCGGGGGUGAAAGCCUUGAGCUCAACUCAAGAAAUGCACUCGGUACUGGAUGACUAGAGGACCGGAGAGGAUAGUGGAAUUCCCAGUGUAGUGGUGAAAUACGUAGAGAUUGGGAAGAACACCAGUGGCGAAGGCGGCUAUCUGGACGGUUUCUGACGCUAAGACGCGAAAGCGUGGGGAGCAAACGGG
RNAcentral lists this ribosomal RNA (253 nucleotides) under uncultured bacterium. RNAcentral's name for it is "partial 16S ribosomal RNA". It matches the Rfam family "Bacterial small subunit ribosomal RNA", at positions 524 to 776 of the family's 1533-position model. The record is from RNAcentral.